This is a long non-coding RNA of Ruditapes philippinarum (Manila clam), 1636 nucleotides long. RefSeq lists it as uncharacterized. NCBI's taxonomy places the organism in Eukaryota, Metazoa, Mollusca, Bivalvia, Venerida, Veneridae. The transcript has 3 exons. The record is from RefSeq and is a predicted model, not a curated record.
AUAAAUGAUUUUCUUUUUACAUUAAAAUAGAAUUAAAAUCACGAUUUGCUAUCAAAGAUGCUGACGGCGAACACGAGUUUUGCUCUGGAAUAUUACCACCGGAGACAUACAAAUCAAAAGGUUCAAGAAUCGAAUUGUUUUAUCGUCGUCUUGAUUUUUCGGGGGGAUACUUGUAUUCGUAUGGCGUAAAAAGAGAGCGAAUUGAAGGAUUUCGGAUACAUUAUAAAAUAACAAAUCAUUCAUUUCAAACGUUUACAACUGAGAUUACAGGAUCUGAAUCAGAAUCAUCAGCUUGCUCAGUGCUUUUCAGAAAAUGCUAUACAGUAUUAUCUGAAGAGGUCUCAUGGGAUAUUGCAAACAGCAAAUGCCGUAAGCGCAGUGAACAUCUUGUUACUAUAACAUCAAGAAAGGAAAUGAAUUACCUACAAUACUUACUACGAAAUGCGUUAAAACGGCGGCGUUCGAAAGAAACACUUCAUGGAGCGCAUAUUGGCUUAAGACGACUUACGGACAAAAACAAGAAGACAAGUUUUAAUUGGGUCAACGGCAAUAGAGUUACUUUCACUGCAUGGUAAUGAACUUAUGUGAUACUACUUAACAACAAUUUUGAAAACAAUUAUAUUGUAAUCAUAUCAUGCUUAGUGCGGGUAAUUUAUAUAGUGCCUAUAAUUUACAAACACAAUUUACCUAUUAACCCAUUACUUCAUGAGCAUUUUGUGAAAAAUGGCUGUUUUCAUUGAAAAGUCUUUUGUUACUAGUUCAAAUUGCUAUAAUACUAUAAAAACUGCUUCAACACUAAUCAAACUUGGCACAAAUGUUGACUGGACCAUUGCCCUUGAAACAACAUGCUCAGGCUUAAAUUUUCUGUUACCAUGGCAACGAGGGGAUGUCAGAAUAAUCAUACAGUUUCACUGUAGAUAGUUUUUUUUACAACGAGUCUGCGAUACACUGAAGUUUACAGAUUUCAAUGUACAGUUUCAUUUAUAAACCUGUUGCUGGGAGUAUAAAAUAUGUAUACAUGUUUAAAGGUCAGCAAAUAUGCGCAUUUUGAAAGAGAUUUUACAUCAGUUAGGAGAGACACGCUGAUAGUGUGUAGCGGUUAUUUUUUUAUUUAGAAGAGAAUUUUGUUGUUUUGUAGGGAGUUUUGUUGGUUUGUUGAAGUUGGUUGAAUAUAAUUGUGGUGAUCUUAAUUGAUCAGGGUUUAUUGGUUGUAAUUAGUUGUUUUGGUUGUUGAGUUAUAUCUGUUUGUGAAGAUAUAAUUGGUUGAUAUUGGUUGAAUGUUUGUCUGGUCAAAAUUAUAUUAGUUGAUGCUUUGAUUUGAGGAUAUAUGUAAAUAUUGGGUGCUUUAGUUUAAGUUGUUUUCUGAUGCUGAUUAGAUUGUGUGAAGUUAAUAUUGUUGGAUGAAUGUUUGUGGUUUAUAGUGUAUCUUAGAUUUGUAAAAAUAUUCAUUUUUUGUGUUCUUCAUUUUUGUAGUGAUUUUAUUGUUUUGUUUGGUCAUAAGUUGUUUAGAGCUUGGGCUCUUUAGGUGUCUUGUUUUGUUUCGUAUAAAAGACGUAUACGUGGAAAGAUAUUUCGUAUAAGUGGCUAAUAAAUGAUGUGUGUUUGUUUUGGGUGUAAAUAAUGAUCAGAGUUCUGU